GCUGAUUGGUGGUGACCUUGAAAGCUUUCAUGAAGGCUUUAAAGUGACAUAAAUUAGGGAGACAUGAUAGAGAGAGCAAUGGCUUAUCUGUAUUAAAUGAAAAAAGUCUUAACCAGAAGAGAAUUCAAGUGGGCCAAAAAUGAAUUCAGAAAGAAGACUUGGAUCACAUAAUUAGCUUUCAGGGAAUCAGUCCACUUUCUUAUCUGCUAAAAUCUUUUAUGGUGACAUGAUAUAAAGGUCUCUGUUCCUGGACUCAAGGAAAGAGGUCUUCCUCUCACUUGGGAAUGGAGUGGGAAGCGGACGUGCGUGGUCUUAGCUUUUUUUUCUCUUCCCUCUGAGAAGCAACUUCGUCAACCAACUGCAGGGCACACAACUUGACAGUUGCGGGUCCUUUCUCUGUUGUUUGCAUGCACCAUAUUCCAGAUAGAAGAAUGGAUGCAUGUGAUAGCACCCUCAGUAGUAUCUGAAUGAAAGUAACUGCCAACCUAUGAUUCUAUAUCCAAUGACAAUACUCUUCAAAAAUGAAGAUGAAAUAAUAGGUUUUCAGAAAAACAAAACUAAGGUAAUUUGUUGCCAGCAGGCCUACAUUUCAAACAAAACAAAACUGAAGAAAGACAUAUUCUAAAAAUUUUAUUCAGGAGGAAAACAAUCUUGGACAGAAAAAUAGAAAUUGAGAGAAGGUAUAUCUGUGUGUCAAUAUAAGUGAAUAUUGGCAAUAUAAAACAAUAAUUGAAAUGUUUUUUAGUUUACAUACAACAAAAAAUGUACAACAAAGAACAUAUAUGUACAAAAAUCAACAAAAUUGAUUAAUCUCUAGAAAGGCUGAUGAAGAGUAAGCGAAUGAACACAAGAAUGCAAGCUUGGUUUAGCAUUAGAAAAUCAAUCAAUUUAAUUCAUAUUACUAACAGAAUAAAGAAGAAAAAUCGUAUGAUCCUCUCAAUAAAUGUUGACAAAGCAUUUGACAAAAUCCAACAUCCAUGUAUGAUCAAAACCCUCAGGAACUAAGAAUAGAAAGAAACUUAUUCAACCUCAUAAAGAGCAUCUACAAAAACCCUACAACUAACGUAAUACUUAAUAGUGGAAUAUUGAACUCUUUCUCUCUAAUAUUUGGAACAAGGCAAGGAUGCUCACUUUCGUUACUUCUAUUCAAAGAUGUACUGUUUUUGAAUAAGUGGUCAAUUUAUACACAAUGCUGGCCAUAUAGUAAUCAUAUAGUACAUGUUAAUUAUUCUUUCUACCCUGCUUGUGGGAUCUUGCUGUGUGCAUCUGUGGAAGGCUAUCAUUUAACUUGUUUUAUUGAUCAUGUCCUGCCUGAUUCAAUGAAAACUUCAGCAAGAAGGGACCACGCCACAGAAAGUAUACCUCUCAUGCUAGCAACAUCUUAAUCAUCUUACAGACAAAU
This 1402-nucleotide long non-coding RNA is filed under the name Equus caballus (horse). RNAcentral's name for it is "lncRNA (ENSECAG00000047617.1)". The record is from RNAcentral. Lineage: Eukaryota; Metazoa; Chordata; Mammalia; Perissodactyla; Equidae.